UCAACCUGAUGCCAUGAAGUGCAAUUUGGUUGCCAGCCAUGUGUGAAAGUCUAAUGACGAAAUAAGAAGAUCCGAAGACAACGGCUUUCGUCUUUUCGUUGUUAAAUAUGGCAGGUCGUCGGAUCCUCAAGACUUUCAAGACAAACACUACGUAGUUUCUGCGUUCCAGGUACGCUACCUGGUAAAACUCCACUUCCCGGACUAGUGGACUAACAUUUAUUACCCAUUGAACAAUCCUCAAGCAGCUGGGGCGUGAGGUAUCUGCUGAAUCUCGUAUCAUCUGGUAAAACACUGACAACGAGUAAGCGAGCGCACGAACACAAAAACCAGCUACACUAGGCAUCCGACCCCGAGCGAGCUUUAGCGA
RNAcentral lists this long non-coding RNA (367 nucleotides) under Neodiprion lecontei (redheaded pine sawfly). Its description in RNAcentral is "uncharacterized LOC124292627". Lineage: Eukaryota; Metazoa; Arthropoda; Insecta; Hymenoptera; Diprionidae. The record is from RNAcentral.